Molecule: ribosomal RNA, 772 nt
Filed under: uncultured bacterium
Lineage: Bacteria
Description: bacterial SSU rRNA
Rfam family: Bacterial small subunit ribosomal RNA
Source: RNAcentral
AGAGUUUGAUCAUGGCUCAGAAUCAACACUGGCGGUGUGCCUAACACAUGCAAGUCGAACGAGAAAGUGGAGCAAUCCAUGAGUAAAGUGGCGACCGGGUGAGUAACACGUGACCAAUCUACCCUUGAGUGGGGGAUAACCUCGGGAAACCGGGGCUAAUACCGCAUAACAUCUCUGGAUCGGAAGAACUGGAGAUCAAAGGAGCAAUUCGCUUAAGGAGGAGGUCGCGGCUGAUUAGCUAGUUGGCGGGGUAACGGCCCACCAAGGCAAAGAUCGGUAGCCGGCCUGAGAGGGCGCACGGCCACACUGGAACUGAAACACGGUCCAGACUCCUACGGGAGGCAGCAGUGGGGAAUUUUGCGCAAUGGGGGAAACCCUGACGCAGCAACGCCGCGUGGAGGAUGAAGUCCCUUGGGACGUAAACUCCUUUCGACCCGGACGAUAAUGACGGUACGGGUGGAAGAAGCCCCGGCUAACUUCGUGCCAGCAGCCGCGGUAAUACGAGGGGGGCAAGCGUUGUUCGGAAUUAUUGGGCGUAAAGGGCGCGUAGGCGGUGCGGUAAGUCACCUGUGAAACCUCUAGGCUUAACCUAGAGCCUGCAGGCGAAACUGCCGUGCUUGAGGGUGGGAGAGGUGCGUGGAAUUCCCGGUGUAGCGGUGAAAUGCGUAGAUAUCAGGAGGAACACCUGUGGUGUAGACGGCUCUCUGGACCGCAACUGACGCUGAGACACGAAAGCGUGGGUAGCAAACAGGAUUAGAUACCCUAGUAGUCC